GAUGAACGUUGGCGGCGUGCCUAACACAUGCAAGUCGAGCGGAGAAGCAGUGCGUGAGCUUUUCGGAGUGAACUCUUUUCGGAUCAGCGGCGGACGGGUGCGUAAUACAUGAGGAACCAGCACUCUACAAGGGGAUAGCCGGGGGAAACCGCGAUUAAUAGCCUAUGAGACGACGAUGGCGCAUGCCGUUGGGGGUAAAGGUUUAUCGGUAGAAGAUGGCCGCAUGACGGAUUGGCUGGUUGGUGAUUUAACAGAGCACCAAGGCGGCGAUGGGUAGCCGGGUGGGUAGCGUGACCGGCCACGAUUGAACUGAGGCACAGUCCAGACUCCUACGGGGGACAGCAGUAGGGAGUAUUGCGGAAUGGGGCAAAACCUGAUGCAGCGGCGUCGCGUAAGCGAGGAAGGCCUUCGGGUCGUGAAUCUCUGCCUUAUGGGAAGAAAAGGACGGUACCAGGUAAAGAAGCCCCGGCUAACUACGUG
Molecule: ribosomal RNA, 480 nt
Filed under: uncultured bacterium
Lineage: Bacteria
Description: partial 16S ribosomal RNA
Rfam family: Bacterial small subunit ribosomal RNA
Source: RNAcentral